AGCGGGGUAGAGCAGUCCGGUAGCUCGCCAGGCUCAUAACCUGGAGGUCGUGGGUUCAAAUCCCACCCCCGCAACCA
This 77-nucleotide transfer RNA is filed under the name Candidatus Abawacabacteria bacterium RIFCSPHIGHO2_01_FULL_46_8. RNAcentral's name for it is "tRNA-Met". It matches the Rfam family "tRNA". Rfam says of the family: Transfer RNA (tRNA) molecules are approximately 80 nucleotides in length. Their secondary structure includes four short double-helical elements and three loops (D, anti-codon, and T loops). Further hydrogen bonds mediate the characteristic L-shaped molecular structure. tRNAs have two regions of fundamental functional importance: the anti-codon, which is responsible for specific mRNA codon recognition, and the 3' end, to which the tRNAs corresponding amino acid is attached (by aminoacyl-tRNA synthetases). tRNAs cope with the degeneracy of the genetic code in two manners: having more than one tRNA (with a specific anti-codon) for a particular amino acid; and 'wobble' base-pairing, i.e. permitting non-standard base-pairing at the 3rd anti-codon position. Lineage: Bacteria; Candidatus Abawacaibacteriota. The record is from RNAcentral.